Molecule: ribosomal RNA, 253 nt
Filed under: uncultured bacterium
Lineage: Bacteria
Description: partial 16S ribosomal RNA
Rfam family: Bacterial small subunit ribosomal RNA
Source: RNAcentral
UACGGGGGGAGCAAGCGUUGUUCGGAUUUACUGGGCGUAAAGGGCGCGUAGGCGGCCUGAUAAGUAGGGGGUGAAAUCCUGCGGCUUAACCGCAGGGCUGCCUUCUAAACUGUCAGGCUAGAGCACAGUAGAGGCAGGUGGAAUUCCCGGUGUAGCGGUGGAAUGCGUAGAGAUCGGGAAGAACAUCAGUGGCGAAGGCGGCCUGCUGGGCUGUUGCUGACGCUGAGGCGCGACAGCGUGGGGAGCAAACAGG